This 196-nucleotide ribosomal RNA is filed under the name uncultured Hyphomicrobiales bacterium. Its description in RNAcentral is "uncultured Rhizobiales bacterium partial 16S ribosomal RNA". It matches the Rfam family "Bacterial small subunit ribosomal RNA", at positions 524 to 719 of the family's 1533-position model. Lineage: Bacteria; Pseudomonadati; Pseudomonadota; Alphaproteobacteria; Hyphomicrobiales. The record is from RNAcentral.
UACGAAGGGGGCUAGCGUUGCUCGGAAUCACUGGGCGUAAAGGGCGCGUAGGCGGCUUGCCAAGUCGGGGGUGAAAGCCCGUGGCUCAACCACGGAAUGGCCUUCGAUACUGGCAGGCUUGAGACCGGAAGAGGACAGUGGAACUGCGAGUGUAGAGGUGAAAUUCGUAGAUAUUCGCAAGAACACCAGUGGCGAA